CUCCUUGCAUCUCUCUCUCGCUCUUCUCUGUGCAGUCGCUCUGUCUCGGAGGGUUUUGGUUCUGCACGCCUUCCUCUCUGCGCAGCAGGCUCGCUUCGCUAUUCCCUUUCGCCAACCAGGUUCCAUAAUGUCUUGGAGUACAAUUGAGUCUGACCCUGGUAGUCCACAUUGUGGUGACAAUUGGACGGAAAUUAAGAGAACUUGGGAAACUGAAAAAAAUAAGCAAAUGAGUGAACAGAAUAAGAAGAUUCGAGCUUCUAAUUCUAGUGAAGGGUCUGCCACAUAUGCUAGGGGCUCUAUCAACAU
Long non-coding RNA from Syzygium oleosum, 306 nucleotides. RefSeq lists it as uncharacterized. The transcript is spliced from 3 exons. NCBI's taxonomy places the organism in Eukaryota, Viridiplantae, Streptophyta, Magnoliopsida, Myrtales, Myrtaceae. The record is from RefSeq and is a predicted model, not a curated record.